RNAcentral lists this long non-coding RNA (202 nucleotides) under Panax ginseng (ginseng). Its description in RNAcentral is "long non-coding RNA (PGIN_LNC009875)". The record is from RNAcentral. Lineage: Eukaryota; Viridiplantae; Streptophyta; Magnoliopsida; Apiales; Araliaceae.
GCAAAGUUGAGGAAAAGGCCACAAGAAGCCACCGCAUCAAUACUUGAACUACGAGCUAUCAAAGACGAGCCGAUAGAAGAUCAUUGAGAACCGGAAGAUACCUUUCAGCUAAUUGCAUUAUCUUCUCGGAAUCCAAUUCAGUCAUACUUGACCUUAUUUCUCAGCCUUUCGCAAAGACUUUUCAGAAUUUUUUAGUACGGAG